Molecule: unclassified non-coding RNA, 345 nt
Filed under: soil metagenome
Description: partial contains 5.8S ribosomal RNA, internal transcribed spacer 2, and large subunit ribosomal RNA
Rfam family: 5.8S ribosomal RNA (bases 1-120)
Source: RNAcentral
GAUGAAGAACGCAGCGAAAUGCGAUACGUAAUGUGAAUUGCAGAAUUCAGUGAAUCAUCGAGUCUUUGAACGCACAUUGCGCCCCCUGGUAUUCCGGGGGGCAUGCCUGUCCGAGCGUCAUUGCUGCCCUCAAGCACGGCUUGUGUGUUGGGCCUCCGUCCUCCUCCCGGGGGACGGGCCCGAAAGGCAGCGGCGGCACCGCGUCCGGUCCUCGAGCGCAUGGGGCUUCGUCACCCGCUCUUGUAGGCCCGGCCGGCGCUUGCCGACACAUCAAUCUUUUUUCCAGGUUGACCUCGGAUCAGGUAGGGAUACCCGCUGAACUUAAGCAUAUCAAUAAGCGGAGGA